This 898-nucleotide ribosomal RNA is filed under the name Ophiocordyceps macroacicularis. RNAcentral describes it as "LSU rRNA". It matches the Rfam family "Eukaryotic large subunit ribosomal RNA", at positions 40 to 962 of the family's 3401-position model. Lineage: Eukaryota; Fungi; Ascomycota; Sordariomycetes; Hypocreales; Ophiocordycipitaceae. The record is from RNAcentral.
AUAUCAAUAAGCGGAGGAAAAGAAACCAACAGGGAUUGCCCCAGUAACGGCGAGUGAAGCGGCAACAGCUCAAAUUUGAAAUCUGGCCCCCCCGCGGGGCCCGAGUUGUAAUUUGCAGAGGAUGCUUUUGGCGCGGCGCCUUCCGAGUUCCCUGGAACGGGACGCCAUAGAGGGUGAGAGCCCCGUCUGGUCGGACGCCCAGCCUCUGUAAAGCUCCUUCGACGAGUCGAGUAGUUUGGGAAUGCUGCUCUAAAUGGGAGGUAUAUGUCUUCUAAAGCUAAAUAUUGGCCAGAGACCGAUAGCGCACAAGUAGAGUGAUCGAAAGAUGAAAAGCACUUUGAAAAGAGGGUUAAACAGUACGUGAAAUUGUUGAAAGGGAAGCGCUUGUGACCAGACUUGGGCGCGGCGAAUCAUCCGGCGUUCUCGCCGGUGCACUUCGACGCGCCCGGGCCAGCAUCAGUUCGCGGCGGGGGAUAAAGGCGCCGGGAACGUGGCUCCCCCGGGAGUGUUAUAGCCCGGCGCGCAAUGCCCCGCGGCGGACUGAGGUUCGCGCAUCCGCAAGGAUGCUGGCGUAAUGGUCACCAGUGACCCGUCUUGAAACACGGACCAAGGAGUCGUCCUCGUAUGCGAGUGUUCGGGUGUCAAACCCCUACGCGCAAUGAAAGUGAACGCAGGUGAGAGCCUCACGGCGCAUCAUCGACCGAUCCUGAUGUUCUCGGAUGGAUUUGAGUAAGAGCAUACGGGGCCGGACCCGAAAGAAGGUGAACUAUGCCUGUGUAGGGUGAAGCCAGAGGAAACUCUGGUGGAGGCUCGCAGCGGUUCUGACGUGCAAAUCGAUCGUCAAACAUGGGCAUGGGGGCGAAAGACUAAUCGAACCUUCUAGUAGCUGGUUUCCGCC